CCUACGGGGGGCAGCAGUGAGGAAUAUUGGUCAAUGGACGAGAGUCUGAACCAGCCAAGUAGCGUGAAGGAUGACUGCCCUACGGGUUGUAAACUUCUUUUAUCUGGGAAUAAAACAGGGUAUGCAUACCCUCUUGUAUGUACCAGAUGAAUAAGGAUCGGCUAACUCCGUGCCAGCAGCCGCGGUAAUACGGAGGAUCCGAGCGUUAUCCGGAUUUAUUGGGUUUAAAGGGUGCGCAGGUGGAAUGUUAAGUCAGUUGUGAAAGUUUGCGGCUCAACCGUAAAAUUGCAGUUGAAACUGGCAGUCUUGAGUGCGCUAGAAGUGGGCGGAAGUCGUGGUGUAGCGGUGAAAUGCUUAGAUAUCACGAAGAACUCCGAUUGCGAAGGCAGCUCACUGGACUGCAACUGACACUGAUGCUCGAAAGCGUGGGUAUCGAACAGGAUUAGAUACCCUUGUAGUC
Molecule: ribosomal RNA, 460 nt
Filed under: uncultured bacterium
Lineage: Bacteria
Description: partial 16S ribosomal RNA
Rfam family: Bacterial small subunit ribosomal RNA
Source: RNAcentral